CACGAACGCUGGCGGCAUGCCUAACACAUGCAAGUCGAACGAGACCUUCGGGUCUAGUGGCGCACGGGUGCGUAACGCGUGGGAACCUGCCCUUAGGUUCGGAAUAACUCCCCGAAAGGGGUGCUAAAACCGGAUAAUGUCUUCGGACCAAAGAUUUAUCGCCUUUGGAUGGGCCCGCGUUGGAUUAGCUAGUUGGUAGGGUAAAAGCCUACCAAGGCGACGAUCCAUAGCUGGUCUGAGAGGAUGAUCAGCCACACUGGGACUGAGACACGGCCCAGACUCCUACGGGAGGCAGCAGUGGGGAAUAUUGGACAAUGGGCGAAAGCCUGAUCCAGCAAUGCCGCGUGAGUGAUGAAGGCCUUAGGGUUGUAAAGCUCUUUUACCCGGGAUGAUAAUGACAGUACCGGGAGAAUAAGCUCCGGCUAACUCCGUG
This 433-nucleotide ribosomal RNA is filed under the name uncultured bacterium. RNAcentral's name for it is "partial 16S ribosomal RNA". It matches the Rfam family "Bacterial small subunit ribosomal RNA", at positions 29 to 507 of the family's 1533-position model. The record is from RNAcentral.